RNAcentral lists this long non-coding RNA (3399 nucleotides) under Anolis carolinensis (green anole). Its description in RNAcentral is "lncRNA (ENSACAG00000041635.1)". The record is from RNAcentral. Lineage: Eukaryota; Metazoa; Chordata; Lepidosauria; Squamata; Anolidae.
AUGCCCAAACCUCCUCCUUUUUCUCUGCAGGCAAGAGCAAUAAGCCAUCGUAGGAAUUGUUGGCCACAUCAGGGACAGCACUUGCCUGAAGGCGUGGUUCCUGAAGCUUUUGCUCGGAUUGGUGACCAACUUUAUAGAGGUCAUAAAGCUUGGGUUGGAGGCAUCCAACAGGAACUGGCGCAGCAGCUAUGUCCCCCAGAGAAAGGAGUGGGUAGGCAGGUAGGAUCAGUGGGGCUCCCAGCCCUUUUGGGGGGAUUCAGAUGGGGGACUCAAAGCCUUUACUGGAAAGUAUGCUUUUUUCUUUCAUUUUUCUACAUAGAACUGGUGAAGAUCAUCUUGUUUCUGGUGAAAAGGGUGGCCCAGGUUUGGGGACUGGAAGACGGUCUUAGGAUAGGGCUGGGGAGGCAAGAGAGGAGAUGCAAUGCUUCCCUUCCUGGCUUCAUCCUUCAUGCUUCUCAUCUUCUCUUUCAGCUGUUGCACAUUGGCCAGCGCCCACACUCCCCGGAGAAGACCUGGGUGCUACUGACGCUUAGCUCCAACAACGCAACCUGGCCACCCAACAUCAGAGCAGGCAGGGCCUUCUCCUUCUCUGCAAGACCUAGAGGGAGGUGAAUUUAUAUGCACCAUUUUCAGUUUGCCCUACUGCAGCCGGGAGGCGACGCUUGAGCUGCUCCUGGCCAAGGUGAAGGAGGGCCCUUGGCUGACCCAGGAGGGCAAGGAACAGGGCUACCACCAGCACCCUGUCUUUAUGGGGCUGAGGAUGAAGAAGAGACCCCUCUUUCCUGGCCUUCAACAGGAGCUCUCCUUGCAUCAAACCCUCCACUGGAAAGUAAGCUUUUUUCUUUCAUUUUACUGCAGAGAGCUGGUGAAGAUCAUCUUGGUGCUGGUGAAGAAGGUGGCCCGGGUGUCCUUCAAUGAGACCUCUGAGAAGAUGCUAGAAAGCACAGCAUCUGCCCCCAGGCAAUGGCUCCCCAGUUGCAAUAAGGAGCCAAGAGCUAGAGAAGGUUCAGGGAGAAGGCAUGGCAUGAUCCCUCUGGUUGGGUUCCCUCAUGGUGUUAUCGAGCCAAAAUUUAGGGGUUCUCCUCUGAAUUAGGAAUACCCAAUACCUUCCAGUUGCAGGUUCGAAGAUCAUGGCAAGCAGGAGGCACUUCAGAUCAGUUGCCCCGUCCCCCCAAUAAUCUCACCCACAAGUCUUGAAGAGAGAUGACCGAGUUGAUAUUUAUUCGAGUCAGCUGACACGGAUGUCAAAACGCAAUCAUUCGCCGAGGUGACAUGUCAAAUAAUACAGUGCAGCAAUUUUUAUAAGCGGUGCGGCGUCUUUGCCAAUCAGAGGCGAAGAGGUGGGCUGAGCCGAGAACAAUGAAUUGCCAAGCUGAUUAUAGAUAGGCAAAUGACCUGAUAUGUCAAAAGGAAACGCUGAGGACCCUGCUGAGCCCUCAAGACAGCUUCCGAGGGUGCAAAUAUACAUAUGUGCCUGACAAGCACUGCAGAAGCAUUCGGCUGGAGUGGUGUCCUUCUACAUCCAGGUGGGGAGUGCUGGUCAGCCUGGUUUUGGGGCUGGAAGGGGGCCUUAGGACAGGGCUGGAGUGGAGAGGCAGUGCUUCCCUUCCUGGUUCCAGCCCUGAAUACUUCUUCUCUUUCAGCUGCUGCACACUGGCCAGCGCCCACACUCCCUAGGAAAGACCUGCCACUUCAUCACAUGUACUAAAUUCCACUGAGUGCUACACUUAAAAUCCAGGAAGCCAUUGUUCUCAUCACAUUCAUUUGGCUUCAAGUAUAGGAUAGAGCAUUUUUUGCGUAUUUUAAGUGUCGGGGCCAGCGUUCUUUUCAAGCAUUGGAGGAGGUGGUGGGGAACUGGAUUUUUGGUAAUGAUCUUGGAUGUUUGGCCAAUUCUCUAAUGUGAUGGCAUUAGUUGCUCCCAGGUUUUAAAUUUGUGGGAGGGGAAAUUGUCGGAGGAGCCAAAACUAUCCUUGUUAGGGAAAGCAUUUCCUUUUGCUCACCGAGUUUUUAUUUUGCCAGCACAAUUUCUUUUUAAAAAAUAUCCUUGCCAGGUCCUGUCCUUCUCUUCCCUUCCCUUCCCUUCCUUCCAUGAUAUGUCUGUGCCUUGUGUUGCAUGGGAAAGCUGAGAGAGAAGGAUUAUUAUUAUUAUUAUUAUUAUUAUUAUUAUUAUUAUUAUUAUUAUUAUUAUUAUUAUUAUUAUUUUAUGACACAGCAAACAAAAUAGAUAUGCUGGAUUUCGUAUCACAAAAUCACAAGUCGAACACUUCCCAAGUGUCUAGGACUGUGUGAUGUAUUUUCGGAUGAUGCGUGCAGAUGCCAGUAGGGUGGCCUUUUGCAGUUGGCAGAUCGUAAUUUUGUCAAUAUCUAUUGUUUCCAAAUGCCAGCUGAGAUCUUUUGGCACGGCACCCAAUGUGCCGAUCACCACCGGGACCACCUGCACUGGAUUCUGCCAGAGUCUUUGAAGUUCAGUCUUGAGGUCCUGAUAGUGGCUAAGUUUUUCCUGUUGUUUUUCGUCAAUGCAACUGUCACCUGGGAUGGCAACAUCAGUGAUCCAAACCUUUUUCUUUUCUACAACUGUGAUGUCUGGUGUGUUGAGUUCCAGAACUUUGUCAGUCUGGAUUCGGAAGUCCCACAGUAUCUUUGCGUGCUCAUUUUCCAAUACUUUUGCAGGUUUGUGAUCCCACCAGUUCUUUACUGCUGGCAGGUGGUACUUGAGGCAUAAGUUCCAAUGAAUCAUUUGGGCCACAUAGUUGUGCCUCUGUUUGUAGUCUGUCUGUGCGAUUUUCUUACAGCAGCUGAGGAUAUGAUCAAUGGUUUCGUCGGUUUCCUUGCACACUCUGCAUUUUGGGUCAUCAGCUGAUUUUUCAAUCUUGGCCUUAAUUGCAUUUUUCCUGAUGGCUUGCUCCUGGGCUGCAAGGAUCAGGCCUUCUGUCUCCUUCUUCAGGGUCCCAUUUGUGAGCCAUAGCCAGGUCUUCUCCUUAUCAGUUUUUCCUUCAAUUUGGUCAAGAAACUUUCCAUGCAAUGUUUUGGUGUGCCAGCUGUCAGCUCUAGUUUGUAUUAUUAUUAUUAUCAUUAUUAUUAUUAUUAUUAUCAUCAUCAUCAUCAUCAUCAUCGUCAUCAUCAUCAUCAUGCCAUGUCUCCACGCUGUGCAGUCCUGGGAAUUAUAGUUUUCCAAGGUCCAUACCGUUCUCUUGGUGCAUUUACAGUAUGGAAUCAAUGCACUUGGACCCCACUUUAAAUUCCAUAGCUCCAUACUAUGUGGUCCUGGGAGUGAUAGUUUCCCAAGAUCCCUUCUCUGGAUACAUCUGCACUGGGGAAUAAGUGCAGUCAGGACCCCAUUUUAAAGGCAAUUAUUAUUGUUGUUAUUUGCCCACCUCCCAUGCUGGGCGGUCCCGGGGA